ACGGAAGGCAGCAGUGAGGAAUAUUGGACAAUGGUCGGAAGACUGAUCCAGCCAUGCCGCGUGAAGGAAGAAGGUCCUAUGGAUUGUAAACUUCUUUUGUACGGGAGCAAUAAGGCGUAUGCAUACGCCGAUGAGAGUACCGUACGAAUAAGCAUCGGCUAACUCCGUGCCAGCAGCCGCGGUAAUACGGAGGAUCCGAGCGUUAUCCGGAUUUAUUGGGUUUAAAGGGUGCGCAGGCGGCUUUUUAAGUCAGUGGUUAAAUCGUGACGCUCAACGUCAUCACGCCAUUGAUACUGGAGAGCUUGAUUGCGGUCGAGGUUUGCGGAAUUCGUUGUGUAGCGGUGAAAUGCAUAGAUAUGACGAAGAACACCGAUUGCGUAGGCAGCAGACCAGGCCGUAAAUGACGCUCAUGCACGAAAGUGCGGGGAUCGAACAGGAUUAGAUACCCUGGUA
Molecule: ribosomal RNA, 453 nt
Filed under: uncultured bacterium
Lineage: Bacteria
Description: partial 16S ribosomal RNA
Rfam family: Bacterial small subunit ribosomal RNA
Source: RNAcentral